Molecule: ribosomal RNA, 253 nt
Filed under: uncultured bacterium
Lineage: Bacteria
Description: partial 16S ribosomal RNA
Rfam family: Bacterial small subunit ribosomal RNA
Source: RNAcentral
UACGUAGGGUGCAAGCGUUAAUCGGAAUUACUGGUCGUAAAGCGUGCGCAGGCGGUUUUGUAAGUCUGACGUGAAAUCCCCGGGCUCAACCUGGGAAUUGCGUUGGAGACUGCAAGGAUAGAAUCUGGCAGAGGGGGGUAGAAUUCCACGUGUAGCAGUGAAAUGCGUAGAGAUGUGGAGGAACAACGAUGGCGAAGGCAGCCCCCUGGGUCAAGAUUGACGCUCAUGCACGAAAGCGUGGGGAGCAAACAGG